Arvicola amphibius (Eurasian water vole) is the source of this 591-nucleotide long non-coding RNA. RefSeq lists it as uncharacterized. Lineage: Eukaryota; Metazoa; Chordata; Mammalia; Rodentia; Cricetidae. The transcript is spliced from 3 exons. The record is from RefSeq and is a predicted model, not a curated record.
AUCUUUUUAUUCUUUUUGUUUGUUUGUUGUUUUUCAAGACAGGUUCUCACUAUGUAGCCCUAGCUGUACUGGAACUCACUACGCAGAUUAGGCAGGUCUAAAACUCUCAAGAGUUUCCUGUCUGUGCCUCCCGAUGGGACUGAAGGCUGGCUUUGAAUUUACUACGUAGCUGAGGAUGACCUAGAACUUCUAAUCUUCCUCCACUUCCACUACCAACAAAACAAUCUACACCUCUUAAAAUGACAGUAGCACAUCUUGCACAGAUAUAUUUGGGUUUGUGUCAAGCAGACAGAACAACCUAGCACGGCACCCACAGAUUUGAGGUGAGAUAUCCAAAGGACCACUGAAACACCUGUGUGGCUCCCAUGGGGGUUCAGAGAUGUUUGCCAUGCAAGGAUUACCCAGACAAAAAGAGAUGAAUGCAGAUCCUAAUAGCUGCUGUGUGUGUGUUUCUGAGUCUCUGUAUUGUGUGGGUGUUCCUGAGUCACUUGCUGUUAGCCUGUGUGUGUGUGUGUGUGUGUGUGUGUGUGUGUGUAGGGUGGUUCUUGAGUUACUAGCUGUUAGCCUGUGUGUGUGUGUGUGUGUGUGUGU